Molecule: transfer RNA, 87 nt
Filed under: Pseudomonadota bacterium
Lineage: Bacteria; Pseudomonadati; Pseudomonadota
Also listed under: 2 other names
Description: tRNA-Leu
Rfam family: tRNA
About the family: Transfer RNA (tRNA) molecules are approximately 80 nucleotides in length. Their secondary structure includes four short double-helical elements and three loops (D, anti-codon, and T loops). Further hydrogen bonds mediate the characteristic L-shaped molecular structure. tRNAs have two regions of fundamental functional importance: the anti-codon, which is responsible for specific mRNA codon recognition, and the 3' end, to which the tRNAs corresponding amino acid is attached (by aminoacyl-tRNA synthetases). tRNAs cope with the degeneracy of the genetic code in two manners: having more than one tRNA (with a specific anti-codon) for a particular amino acid; and 'wobble' base-pairing, i.e. permitting non-standard base-pairing at the 3rd anti-codon position.
Source: RNAcentral
GCCGGCGUGGUGAAACUGGUAGACGCAGAGGACUCAAAAUCCUCCGGCAGCAAUGCCAUGGGGGUUCGAUUCCCUCCGCCGGCACCA